AAGCCUCAGGUUUUCGUCCUAUGCUUCCAGCUGUUCUAACACCUCCUGCCUGCCAGUACUGACUCUUUAUGCAUGGGGGCUUCCGGCUUAUCUAUACUUCGAAGACAGUGAACUAGGUUAACCAGAUAUAGGACUCCUCUGUCUUGCUACGAUGGACAGCCACAAGGAUUCACUUGAAUAAAAGAAGCAACAGUGGGUGCCAGGCUGUUUGAAUUCUUAUUCGGGGUCCAGAGAGAUGGGUAAGAGCAUUUGUUGCUCUUGCAGCGGACCUGGGUUUGGUGUCUAACAUCCAUGUGGUGGCUCACAUCCAUCAGUAACUCCAUUCGAGGAGAUCCAAUACCCUCUACUGCCCUCCUCUAGUACCACACAGUGCUGUGGAUUGAAUGGCGGGCCUUGCACAGAAAUGUGCUGUUUUGUUAUACAUUUAUUACAAAGAAUCUCACAAAAAGAAAAUAUUUCAAAAAGAAUGCCAGGCUAAAGAACCUCCACCUGGAGAACUGGGGGAAGGCAGGGCAAUAAUAUCAACGUCAACAUACAGCACCCUCUGGCCAUACUUUAGCAGUUCCAGGAUGGCCAAGACGACAUCGUUGAUGUAACAGAAACCUGAGGCGUCAGACUUCUUUACAUGAUGCAGUCCCCCAGCCUGGCUCGCAGUGAUGUCCCUCUGAUGUGUAUCAAGUUUCACAGCACUUUCCAAAGAGCCACCAAUAGACAACUGACAACUCAGACAGGCCAUCGAUUACCGGGAAGUCCUCACCAACGCGGAAUCUCUGCAUCUGCUUGCUGUAUUUAGACACAUUAUCUGGGCGAAUAGAGCACAAGAGUUUAAUGUAGUCAUCACUGUGGGACUUGGUCAUCUCCUCAGCGUUGGCUCUGUGAGGACGAUAGAUUUCCAUUUUUUGGUAGAGAUGUAGUUGAGCUGCAAAUCACGAGUCAUGUGGAUUCGGUGAGGCUUCAUUGGGUGGCCCUGUCCAUAAGAUAGUUUCCAACAUCCCUGUUAACAGACGUUCCUCUUGCCCUGAGUCUGUGCCAUCUUUCUCACCACCCAGUGCUCCUGCCAGUCUGAUGUUUUAAUAUUUUUAGAUGGUGAUGCUUUGAGUUUAAAUGGCCUUUGACAAAUUCUAUCCUAAUUUCUAAUUAAGACAAGGAAAGAAAACAAAGAUGGAUAAGGACCAUAAAGUAAUGAAUGGACUGGAAACAGAAGUAAACUUAUUCAACAAUAAAA
RNAcentral lists this long non-coding RNA (1225 nucleotides) under Mus musculus (house mouse). Its description in RNAcentral is "RIKEN cDNA E330011O21 gene". The record is from RNAcentral. Lineage: Eukaryota; Metazoa; Chordata; Mammalia; Rodentia; Muridae.